AUGCAUGUCUAAGUAUAAGCAAUUAUACAGCGAAACUGCGAAUGGCUCAUUAAAUCAGUUAUCGUUUAUUUGAUAGUACCUUACUACUUGGAUAACCGUGGUAAUUCUAGAGCUAAUACAUGCUAAAAACCCCGACUCACGAAGGGGUGUAUUUAUUAGAUUAAAAACCAAUGCCCUUCGGGGCUCUCUGGUGAUUCAUAAUAACUUCUCGAAUCGCAUGGGCUUGUGCCGGCGAUGGUUCAUUCAAAUUUCUGUCCUAUCAACUUUCGAUGGCAGGGUCUUGGCCUGCCAUGGUUACAACGGGUAACGGAGGGUUAGGGUUCGACCCCGGAGAAGGAGCCUGAGAAACGGCUACUACAUCCAAGGAAGGCAGCAGGCGCGCAAAUUACCCAAUCCCGAUUCGGGGAGGUAGUGACAAUAA
Molecule: ribosomal RNA, 421 nt
Filed under: uncultured fungus
Lineage: Eukaryota; Fungi
Description: SSU rRNA
Rfam family: Eukaryotic small subunit ribosomal RNA
Source: RNAcentral